RNAcentral lists this long non-coding RNA (372 nucleotides) under Medicago truncatula (barrel medic). RNAcentral's name for it is "lncRNA gene2356". Lineage: Eukaryota; Viridiplantae; Streptophyta; Magnoliopsida; Fabales; Fabaceae. The record is from RNAcentral.
CUCCUUGCUCUUUCCUCCUUCAUCUCUUGAACCAAAAGCUUAGUUCCCAUUAAUUCCCACUCUUUCUCACAAUUUUUCUCAACCAUUCCAACCUCUUCCAUCUCCCUUAUCUUCUCUUCCUUCUCUUCCACCACUUCCCUCAACUCCUUCACCUCUUCUUUCAACCUCUUCAUCUCUUGUUUCCAAUCUGCCUCCUUAAAAGCAAACACCAUUAUCUCCCUCUCAUAGUUCCUACUCUCUUUCUCCCUAUCACACAUUAUCUCCUUUAUUUCUUCUUGUAGAAGUCUCACUUUCUCUUUCAAAUUCAUUACAUAAUUUUGUGGAUACUUUUUCUCAUUUUUCUUCUUAACACUAACACUAACACAUCCCCCC